Molecule: long non-coding RNA, 1191 nt
Organism: Beta vulgaris subsp. vulgaris (sugar beet)
Lineage: Eukaryota; Viridiplantae; Streptophyta; Magnoliopsida; Caryophyllales; Amaranthaceae
Exons: 3
Source: RefSeq, a predicted model, not a curated record
CACUUCCCUUCUUUCUACCUUAAAUUUCUAAAGUUAUACACCACAGCCAAAACACCCCUCCAUCUUCCCCUGUUCCUCAUUUGUUGAUCAGCCUCUGCCCUAAAUCCCCUGCCCUCCAUUCUUCCAUCCCUUCUCAGCUUCCAGGGCUUCAAAAACACUCAUGGCACUCUUCUUCAAAAUUACCAAAGAUCUGAAAGAAGCAGGCGCUGCUGCAGAGAGUAAGCAAGAACGUGAGCUCUGCGCUCUUCUUGUCAAUUCAAUAAUUGAUGGCACCCCGUACAUCUGGAAAACGUUUUAUUCUGGCGAAGCUGCUGCCAUACUCAGCAAAGAAACCUUCAGAAUCUUGAAAGAAACCGUCAAAAAGUUCGAGGAUGUUUUCCGCAUACCUCCUUGUAAGUCGCCCCCUCAACCAACUGAAGCUAACGUUUCGAGUAAAAAAAGAAAAGAGAAAAACACAAAAAAAUGCGAACACAGUUCUGUUCACGCCAGGCAAACAAACCAAACAGCAAAAAAAAGUAAACCAUCCACAAAGAAAGGGAAAGAAAAAAUGACUCAGGUUGAAACAAGUUGUGAAGAUGAUAAAGAUGAAUACUCACCCUUGCCAUGGACUGGAAUGUUUGUUGGCAAUGGUUCAGUUGUGUCCGGAACCAAACGUUAUGAUAUGUACUGUGAAGGAACGGACGGCUAUUUCUACCUGCGUACAGUGUACCAAGUCGUUGAAGCCUAUGGUAGCGGAGGAAGAACCAGUGGCUACCUUUCUUCUGAUGACGAAACAUAUGAUCCCGACAACUCUGAAGAGGAAGCCUAUCAUGCUGAAGACUUCGGUUCAACAGUUUGAGCUUGAUUUCUAGGAAUCAUUUUGGACAUACUGGAUCAACUAUCUGCUUGAAGACUGGCGACAACUGUUUUCGAAGAAAAAAGAAUGAGGAGUCUUGCUUUUGCCCACACACAUGCUCCUCCAACUCUAGAAUUGCCAGCUCUUUUGCCUAUUUUGAGAACUAUGUUACUACAUGUGUAGCUGUUAGAUUAUCAUACAAAUUUGUAUAAAAUCAGGUAGUGUAUGCACUUUUUUGAGCAAGCUCAACUAACAGAGCAGCCUAAUGUAGGAAGAAAACAAAUUGACGAGCAUUUCCAAAAUGCAAAACCGCUUAUGAUAUGCUAACAUUCCAAACUUAUCAACAAUUACUUCUA